AAGUCGUAACAAGGUUUCCGUAGGUGAACCUGCGGAAGGAUCAUUGUUGAGAGAGCACUGAACAAUGGAUGGUUGUGAACGUGUCAACGUGCCCCUCUACUUGGCCCCAUUUUGGUGGCCGACUGACCAUAGCUCGGUGCGAUCGGCACCAAGGAACAAUGAACUCAGAAGCAGAUGGCCCUCGGUGUGCCCGGGGAGCCCACUGCGUCGGAGACGGUCGGAAUCGAAUGACUCUCGGCAAUGGAUAUCUCGGCUCUUGCAUCGAUGAAGAACGUAGUGAAAUGCGAUACUUGGUGUGAAUUGCAGAAUCUCGUGAACCAUUGAGUCUUUGAACGCAAGUUGUGCCCAAGGCUUUGUGGCCGAGGGCACGCCUGCUUGGGCGUCAUGGCAACAUCGCCUUUGCUCCUUGCUUUGCUGGUGCGAAGAGCGGAAAUUGGCCUCGUGUGCCCUCGGGCACAGUCGGUCGAAGAGCGGGUAGUCGGCAGUCGUCGGGCGCGAUGGGUGCUGGUCACCCUGUGCGUGAAUAGAACGUCGCCCCGACGUGUCGGGAUGUGUCCUCAAAGAGACCCUGUGCGAUUACGGCAUCAUGUCAAAGUGACGUGCCCAUCGGAUUGUGGCCCCAAGUCAGGCGAGGCCCACCCGCCGAGUUUAA
This 652-nucleotide ribosomal RNA is filed under the name Wurfbainia longiligularis. RNAcentral's name for it is "eukaryotic LSU rRNA". The stretch from base 230 to 385 matches the Rfam family "5.8S ribosomal RNA". Lineage: Eukaryota; Viridiplantae; Streptophyta; Magnoliopsida; Zingiberales; Zingiberaceae. The record is from RNAcentral.